Molecule: signal recognition particle RNA, 96 nt
Filed under: Acetobacter estunensis
Lineage: Bacteria; Pseudomonadati; Pseudomonadota; Alphaproteobacteria; Acetobacterales; Acetobacteraceae
Description: Bacterial small signal recognition particle RNA
Rfam family: Bacterial small signal recognition particle RNA
About the family: The signal recognition particle (SRP) is a universally conserved ribonucleoprotein involved in the co-translational targeting of proteins to membranes. Archaeal SRP consists of a 7S RNA and homologues of the eukaryotic SRP19 and SRP54 proteins.
Source: Rfam by way of RNAcentral
GGAGAUCCGUGGCGGACGGAUGCCCCGCUUACCCUGGUCAGAUCCGGAAGGAAGCAGCCAAAGCGGGUUUCAUUCGGGUCGUUGCGGGUCUCUCAU